UACGAGGGGGGCGAGCGUUGUUCGGAAUUAUUGGGCGUAAAGGGCUCGUAGGCGGCCAACUAAGUCAGACGUGAAAUCCCUCGGCUUAACCGGGGAACUGCGUCUGAUACUGGAUGGCUUGAGGUUGGGAGAGGGAUGCGGAAUUCCAGGUGUAGCGGUGAAAUGCGUAGAUAUCUGGAGGAACACCGGUGGCGAAGGCGGCAUCCUGGACCAAUUCUGACGCUGAGGAGCGAAAGCCAGGGGAGCAAACGGG
RNAcentral lists this ribosomal RNA (253 nucleotides) under uncultured bacterium. Its description in RNAcentral is "partial 16S ribosomal RNA". It matches the Rfam family "Bacterial small subunit ribosomal RNA", at positions 524 to 776 of the family's 1533-position model. The record is from RNAcentral.